GCAAGAGCUCAGUGUCCUUCCACAUUGUGUCACCGGUUGUACCCUGAGACAGAUUCUCCAAGUCUUAGAACAUGGAUAUGCAGUGAGAGUGAGGUUUACGUAGAAAAGUCUUUGUGUCUUGGGAGUGCCAUGUGUAUUGAAUGUCUAUGACUCAUGUCUCCCCUUGACUCACUUCUUGGCUGGGCUACAUGACUCAUCAGGCCUGGUAGGUUCAGGGCAGUGUAGCUGGUGGGGAAGGGCUAAGUGAAGAGGGGCUGUCUAGACCUGGGGAGCAUGGUUAUAAUGAGCUUUUUCAAACGUACAACUCAACUCUCUUGCACCUAGGAAGUAUCUUCAUCCAGAAGGAGUUCUCAGUCCUUUUUCUGAUUUUAACACUGCAGUCAACUGCAGACAAAGCCGCAAUCUUGUGACUUCACAGAGCCUCAUGGGCUUUUGAGUUGACCAACUUGAGAAAAAUUUCUGACUUGAUGCAUGAAAUGAAACGAAGGCAGGUGACACAUAAAGGAAAUGACAAGGUAAAUAAGCAUCCAAGCUCCUGUCUGCAAAAUUCAUCCCAAGCUCCCACCACCUUGUCAAACUCUUCAAGGGAAACAUUAUUGCCUUAAUUGCUUAAGCCCAAUUUGCAUAAUAUGGAGCUCUGACAGCCACAAAAACAGGGAUGCAAAAAGGAGAUUAACAAGUGAGGAGCACGCUUAGCCAACCCUGUGCAGUUUGGAAAUGAGAGCAGAGAAGAAUUCAUCGGAUGGGUGGGUUAGCUGUUUGAUCCGCUCCCAGUCCCUCCCCGCUGUACCUCCUUCUCCCCAUCCCACCUUCAGGUUUGUUUGUUUUUCAUUUGCAUGCAUUGGCUCCUAGCAUGUGCCCAUGUGCCCAGACUGUUAAUUGCCAUUCCUAGCAGAGCCUCCUUCAGGCCCUGGUAAAGCUCAGGCAGCAUCAGCCAGUACAGAUUUAAACACAGCCUUUCCUCUUUACACCAAGCUCAUCCAAAUAUCCAAAAUGUUAACACUGCUUGGGAAGGCAGGGACAGUGUCUUAGUCACCUUUGUACCUUUAGUGUCUUUUUAUAAAAUUAAAUUGAUAUCUCUUUGGAAGAGUCAUGGAUAGUCAACUCCC
This 1109-nucleotide long non-coding RNA is filed under the name Homo sapiens (human). Its description in RNAcentral is "HSALNT0059127". Lineage: Eukaryota; Metazoa; Chordata; Mammalia; Primates; Hominidae. The record is from RNAcentral.